UACGUAUGGAGCAAGCGUUAUCCGGAUUUACUGGGUGUAAAGGGAGCGUAGACGGCGAGGCAAGUCUGAAGUGAAAUCCCCCGGCUCAACCGGGGAACUGCUUUGGAAACUGUCUGGCUGGAGUGCAGGAGAGGUAAGCGGAAUUCCUAGUGUAGCGGUGAAAUGCGUAGAUAUUAGGAGGAACACCGGUGGCGAAGGCGGCUUACUGGACUGUAACUGACGUUGAGGCUCGAAAGCGUGGGGAG
RNAcentral lists this ribosomal RNA (245 nucleotides) under uncultured Lachnospiraceae bacterium. Its description in RNAcentral is "partial 16S ribosomal RNA". It matches the Rfam family "Bacterial small subunit ribosomal RNA", at positions 524 to 768 of the family's 1533-position model. The record is from RNAcentral. Lineage: Bacteria; Bacillati; Bacillota; Clostridia; Lachnospirales; Lachnospiraceae.